AAAAAAGUACUAUUUACGUUCGUUCAAACAUGUCAAACGUUGUAUAGCAUCAAUCUUUAGGGCCAUUUUAAGUUCAAACUUCAAUACAUUCCAACCGGACCCAUGCAUUGUCUUGAAAAAUGUUUUGGAACGCAGGUAUCUGCUAACGUGAACGCGCCCUGUGAACUGAAGUGUUUUUCUGGUCACCUGCUUACCAGCGUUCUCCUUCGGUCUGUGUUUACCGCAAAAGGCUCAAACAACUUUCUAAGACUGUUGACAUCUAGUGGAAUCCUUAGGAAGUGCUAUUUGAGUCCUAACUCACUGUGUGUCAGAAAGGCAAGGACUUGAGAAAACUACAGGAACCAGAAUUUCAUUUCCUGGUUGGAUUUCUCUCAGGUUUUUGCCUUCCAUAUGAGUUCUGUUAUACUCACAGACAUCAUUCAAACAGUUUUGGAAACUUUAGAGUGUUUUCUAUCCAAAUCUACUAAUCAUUUGCAAAUAUUUGACUCUGGGCCGGAGUAUUAGGCCGUUUACUCUGGGCACGCUUUUCAUCCAAAAGUGAAAAUACUGCCCCCUAGCCCUAAAAGGAUUUAUCCUAACUAGGGUUCCUAUGUAGGGUGGUUCAUCAUGUCUGUUAUCCUAACUAGGGUUCCUAUGUAGGGUGGUUCAUGUCUGUUAUCCUAACUAGGGUUCCUAUGUAGGGUGGUUCAUCAUGUCUGUUAUCCUAACUAGGGUUCCUAUGUAGGGUGGUUCAUCAUGUCUGUUAUCCUAACUAGGGUUCCUAUGUAGGGUGGUUCAUCAUGUCUGUUAUCCUAACUAGGGUUCCUAUGAAGGUGUGAUGCAUCAUUUGUUUUGUGAGUCUAAACUGUCUCAGAUUGCCGGCCAACACUUUCAUUUCUGUGUAUCUUUCUCUCCUUUUCAUUCUGUUGAAAGAUGUCCAGAAAGAUCAUAGUUACGCCCGACAGUCUACUACAGAUAUGUUCUAAAGUAUAUGCAAACACAUCAAUAAAUAUAUAUUUAUAUGUAGAAGAGUAGCUAGAUAUAGAUGACUGUAACAAUUUGCACAGUGUCUGAAGAGAAGUAAGGAGUGAUCCGUCUAAACAAAAUGGCUACCAAACUCCAACUCCCACAAUCCCCAGUGUCUACGUAAAAAGAACUACAAGUGACUUUGUAGUUUAGAACUAGUUAAAACACUAAUUAGUGUGUCUGCAAAACCUUUCUAAGUGUAAUUAAAUUGAAGGUGUAAACACUGAGAUUCAUUUUUCAAAAUAAAUAUUAGAAUGUGUGGUUAAUAAAAUGUGUUUCAUAUAUCCUGUCUCUCAAACUCAGAUUUUUACUAAGAUUUAUUUAGUUGUUUUGUUUUGAUUGAUGUUGAUAUUUUACAGCGUGUUUCUGACACUACCAUGGUGACUCCUAAAGUGUGUUCUAUCUGCAACAAAACAAGGACUGUGUCCCAAAUGCCACCCUGUUAUUCCCUAUUUAGUUCACCAUAGAACCCAUAGGGCCCUGGUCGUAAGUAGUGCACUACAUGGGGCAUAGGGGGCCAUUCAGGACGUAGCCAAGGUGUGUGUAUUCAGCGGUGACAUCCCUCUCAUUGAGACUGUGUUUCUGUUGGGUUUAAUGAUGCCAAAUCCUUUACUCAGACAGUAGGUACAGUAGACUGUUGAUGGGUUGCUGGUUAGUUACGUAAUGUCACCAUCAUCAGUCACCUUUGUCACAGUCUAGGAAUAUGGUUCAGUACAACUUGUCACAGUCUAGGAAUAUGGUUCAGUACGACUUGUCACAGUCUAGGAAUAUGGUUCAGUACGACUUGUCACAGUCUAGGAAUACGGUUCAGUACGACUUGUCACAGUCUAGGAAUACGGUUCAGUACGACUUGUCACAGUCUAGGAAUAUGGUUCAGUACGACUUGUCACAGUCUAGGAAUAUGGUUCAGUACGACUUGUCACAGUCUAGGAAUAUGGUUGAGUACGACUUGUCACAGUCUAGGAAUAUGGUUCAGUACGACUUGUCACAGUCUAGGAAUAUGGUUCAAUGCGACUUGUCACAGUCUAGGAAUAUGGUUCAGUACGACUUGUCACAGUCU
RNAcentral lists this long non-coding RNA (2065 nucleotides) under Salmo salar (Atlantic salmon). Its description in RNAcentral is "lncRNA (ENSSSAG00000084754.1)". The record is from RNAcentral. Lineage: Eukaryota; Metazoa; Chordata; Actinopteri; Salmoniformes; Salmonidae.